CCAAAAUUAAUUACUGUGUGGGAACUAAUGAUAAGAUGACACACUUCCAAUGGAUGGAUGGUAUUAUCCUUGGGAAUAAAGAAGCUACUAGUUGGGUAGUUAGUGGUCCGGGAGUGAAUAGACAUCAAAUUAUUAAAGGCUCUUUGAAUUUUUUGGUAAAAGCAUGGUAGCAACUUGCUAGAAAUAGACUGUGCCCCACAACUGAGGACAACAUGAUCAAUCUAGUCCAUAAAACAUUGAUAGACAAAAUCAUGGCAGGGUAUGAUUUUGAUGUAGGCUAGUUUAUUGCAUGAGAGAUUCGUGAUAGGGCGGUUAGUAAUAAUGUGGUUUUAGAAUUCCUGUGCUUAUUGAUGCAAAUAUGCUUGGAGGCUGGUGUGCUAGAACUUAUGAAUGUGGAUAAAUUCAUUGAUCCAAAGAACAUCACGGACUUACGAUUGAUUCGUAAUGCUGCAAACCCUAUGUCCAAGUAGGCUAAGCAAGGAGCAACUUUAUUAGCUGAUGCACUUUGGAAUAAAGAUUUGAGUACUGAUACUAUUGGAUUCACCCAUAUAGGUGACAUUCCUGAUGAGACUAGGCCAUUUGAGCCCCAUCCUUUUGAUGUAGCUGGUACCUCCAGUACCCCUACUCUACCUCCAACUGCAGCACCGAGACCAUCCACAUCCAGGUCAGUUCUGGCUGGCUAUAUAAUAGUGCUGUAGUCUUUCAUAACCAACAUAAUAAAAAGAUUGAGCAUCGUGGAUAUAAAGAUACGAUUAAUGGAGAAGGUAGUUCAACCCUGGGUUUAUAAGAGGAUACUAGAACAAACAGGAUGCUUUAGAUAAGAUUUGACAAUUUUGAGCAACAAAUUGCAUGACAACUUGAGGGUGACUGAGAUAGAAGAGUUGCAGAAUUUAAUCAAUGAAUUACAUGAGUGGCUGGUUUACUCCAUCCCGAUCAUUAAGAAGAUCUAGAUAGAAAAAGAAGUCAAAAAUAUCUUGGGUGUUGAUGAUUCGAUCCCCGAGGGUAAUGCUGAAGUUGAAAAAGAAGAAAGGAAGAGAAGGAAGAACAAGAAAGAAAGAGAUGAAGCACAGAAGAAAAAAAUAUUAAGGCGACAAAAAUAAUGAGUGAGCAGAGUGAGACGGGCUGGGAGGUAAGGGUCUGCCAGAUGGCUAUAGGGGCGAGUAGUUUGAAAUAGAAUGAGGCUGUAUGACCCUACUCCCUAAUCCAACACUGAGUGUACCAGCCACCACUAGUGCAAUGAUUACUGAGGAGGUCCCAACGGUUGUUGGGACCACUAUUGAUGAGAGUAGGGCCCGGUCUUAGGGCCCCCAUGCUAAUGAUGCUUUAUUCGAUGCCUAGUGUGCCCAGGGAAAUUAGGUAGGAAGUGGAAUGGACUGAAAAAUGGAAGAAAGUACUCCCAAAAAGUAAGAUACUGGCUAGGCUAUGAGUUAUCAAGUCACCUUACAGCUCAUAUCCCAAUUUGUAAUGAAAGGCUUCGAGUCAUAAAGUCUACUACGGCUUAUAGUAGAAAAUCAUAGGGUGACUAGAUUCUGAAGAAUUGAAGUUUGAGGCUUCAGUAGCUACAAGUGAAAACUAUGAGUCAUAAUGUCUAAGUACGACUUUUGGUGAGGAGUCGUAAAGACCAUAGACCCAAGUGACCUGAGGAAGAGGAGAUACUAUAGUGACUACAACUAGCAACAUAUAACUUAUAAUGUGACUGUAUAAUUCAUAGCCACUAAAGAGAUAUGACAAUAGCCAGUGAGUCGUAAGGAUACAUAAUGACUCGUUGGCAGAGAUGUGACCACUGUCGACCUAGUUUUCCUAUUCUAUUUUAACUAGGAUUUCUUUGUUAUUUUGAGACAAACCCUAAGGUUAUGUAUUUAUUAUGUAAACACUUUUCAUAAUUUUCUA
Molecule: long non-coding RNA, 1890 nt
Organism: Capsicum annuum
Lineage: Eukaryota; Viridiplantae; Streptophyta; Magnoliopsida; Solanales; Solanaceae
Exons: 2
Source: RefSeq, a predicted model, not a curated record